This 4551-nucleotide small RNA is filed under the name Pongo abelii (Sumatran orangutan). Its description in RNAcentral is "retained intron". Lineage: Eukaryota; Metazoa; Chordata; Mammalia; Primates; Hominidae. The record is from RNAcentral.
GUCAGGGCCAGGGCCAGAGAGCCGGAGAGAGGAGCCCCCGACCGAGAGCCCAGGUGAGCCCACCCUUCCUCCCCAGCCCAGCCCCAGCCCAGCCCAGCUUGGCCCAGUCUCCAUAACAACAUCUCCUGGAGCCCGCAGAGAGAUCCCAGCCCUGCCCAAUCCCUUCACCACCACAAGCCCCUGCCUAUCUCGGGGACCCCCAAGAACUGGGAGACUUGUGGCUGGAAGGCAGAGACCCCCUCCCCCAGCCCAGACCCUCCCUCACAUAUCCAGAAAGGCACACACUGUGGGGAGGUAGAUACCCAGCCAGAGAAAGGUCCCACUUCUGAGGGAGGUACAGGAACUGUCACACCCUCCUGGAAACAGACACACGACAUGGGGGGACAGACACUGAGGGUGGGGCACUGAGACACACCAAUGCACACUCACUCAGGGAAGCAUGACAUGGGAUCAGACAGCCUCACCCUGAGAUCUGUACAGACACAGAUAGAUGAACUGACCGGCCAUGAACUCGGGCCGGCAUACCCCUGCCUGCUUCAGCCCGAGGCUUGGUACCACUGCUGGGGGAAGGUGGCAUGCGUGCAUCCCACGGGCAGCAUGGAGGGAGCCACGACUCCCCAAAAAUCCUGUCGCUAAGAGACAGUGCCAGUGCUGCCAAGAAGUGUGAAAACAGGGGAGGUGGGGAGGGAUGUGAGGCUUGUCACAGUUGGAGCUCCUGCCAGGAGCCUGAAGGAGCUUUCAUCAGAGCCCUGGUCCUGCCUCCCAGCCCACCACCACUCCUUUUCCAUCAGCUAGCCAGAAGGGGAAUGGGGGUAAGGAGUGGAUAGGGAUAGCCCAGCAGGGGACUUUCCAACCUGUCUCCUGCCCACUGCAGACUCCACUUCUGAGACCCAUCCUCUUCAGGCCUCCAGGGGCCUCUCCACCCCCUGCCCCACCCCCUUGCCCUAGUUUAGCUCCCUCGUGCCAAGACUGAGUGCAGCGCUGGCACAACACCAGUCGGGAAAUAGCAGAAGGUGCUGAGGCAGCAGAAAGUGUAGAUCAAUCGAUGGCCUAGGAGCCAAGACUGCCAGGAACAUCCCCACCCCAAUCCUUCAGCCCUCUCCAGCCCCAUCCACGCAUACCUAGGCCAGCAGCACAGGGCUUCUGUGCGGGAGUGGGAGGCUCAGGUCCUCUGCCCUCCCCUGCUCAGAACUCUGGUGAAGCUGAGCAGAGGCAGGGGAAGCAGGAGGUCCGUGAGGCCCCAGGGUCUAGGGAAGGAGGUUAAGGGGUGGGGCCCAGGGACCCCAGAGGAUAGACCCCUCUGCUGGCAGGUGUUCCCUUUCCAGGGUCCAGGCCACCUGCUCUGUCCCCACAGUGACAUGUCGGACCCUGAGAUGGGAUGGGUGCCUGAGCCCCCAACCAUGACGCUGGGGGCCUCUCGGGUGGAGCUGCGGGUGUCCUGCCAUGGCCUCCUGGACCGGGACACACUCACCAAACCUCACCCCUGCGUGCUGCUCAAGCUCUACUCUGAUGAGCAGUGGGUGGAGGUAGAGCGCACGGAGGUGCUUCGCUCCUGUUCCAGCCCUGUCUUCUCCCGGGUGCUGGCCCUUGAGUAUUUUUUUGAGGAGAAGCAGCCCCUGCAGUUCCACGUGUUCGAUGCCGAGGAUGGAGCCACCAGCCCCCGAAAUGAUACCUUCCUCGGCUCUACGGAGUGCACCUUGGGCCAGAUUGUGUCACAAACCAAGGUCACUAAGCCAUUACUGCUGAAGAAUGGGAAGACUGCGGGCAAGUCCACCAUCACGGUAGGCAAGAUCACCUGUACUCACCCUUGGUCCAGUUAUUCAAUGCCCCUGCAUGGACACCUAUGGUGACAUCAUGCCCAGGACCACCCCCACCUAAGGGAAAGGGGAUGGGGUGGCCCUUGUGGUAAGGAUAGGGGAGUCCUGCCACUUGUAUCCCCCUUGCAGAUCGUGGCCGAGGAGGUAUCAGGCACAAACGACUAUGUGCAACUCACCUUCAGAGCCUACAAGCUGGACAACAAGGUUGGAACCCCAGAGUUCAGGCCCCCAACUCCCCUGUCACUCCUAGGCCUCCCACCCAAGACAGAUCCCAGGAGCCCAGGCCUGCUCUCUUCCCAGUGUGAGCCCAUCCCCCACUCUCCUCGCAGCUCUCACCAACCUCAGGGGCCCUUUCUCCUGUAUCUUCAGGAUCUGUUCAGCAAGUCUGACCCUUUCAUGGAAAUCUAUAAGACCAACGAGGACCAAAGUGAUCAGCUGGUCUGGAGAACUGAGGUUGGUGCCUGGGGCUAUGGGGAUGAAGGGAGGGAGAGUAAAGUAAGAAAACCCAGACGGGAGCUGACCAGCCACCUGGUGCCUCUCCAAGGUGGUGAAGAACAACCUGAACCCCAGCUGGGAGCCGUUCCGCCUGUCCCUGCAUUCCCUAUGCAGCUGUGAUGUUCACCGACCUCUCAAGUUCCUGGUGUAUGACUAUGACUCCAGUGGGAAGCAUGACUUCAUCGGCGAGUUCACCAGCACUUUCCAGGAGAUGCAGGAAGGGACGGCAAACCCUGGGCAGGAGGUGCCACAAAUACCCCACCCCCAGAAUCCCACCCAGAUCCCUGGGAGAAUACUGAGGGUGAUGCUGAAGAGACCACCAUAGGUGAUAGGAAGUGGAGAGGGUGGAAAGCACCUGGGCUCAGCUGAAGGACUGAGCCAUGGGGGUCUUGCUCUGGGAGGCUCUGCUGGAAGGGAGAAAGAGGGGUCACCUGAUGGACUUGUGACCCUGAGCUUGUGGGGUGGGGUCUAGAUGCAGUGGGACUGUAUCAACCCCAAGUAUCGGGACAAGAAGAAGAAUUACAAGAGCUCAGGGACGGUAGUGCUGGCCCAGUGCACGGUAAAUUUCACUUCCUGCUUCAAGCUUUGCCCCAGCCCCUGCCCCUACCACACUCUCAGGUUCAACCCUUCCCUUGUUUCAAAGACCAGUUUCUCUGCUUCUGGGAACUGGGAACCAUCCCCAACUGCAACCCAAAAAACUCUGGCUCCCCCAUGUUCCCCACAGAAGCCCUACCCAAGCUCCCUCCUCAAAGGACCACCCCAUCCCCUCGCCUUACCCCUCUCCCUGCCUCCAGGUGGAGAAGGUGCACACCUUCCUGGAUUACAUCAUGGGUGGCUGCCAGAUCAGCUUCACGGUGGCCAUCGACUUCACCGCCUCCAAUGGAGACCCGAGGAGCAGCCAGUCCCUGCACUGCCUCAGUCCCCGACAGCCCAACCACUACCUGCAGGCCCUGCGUGCAGUGGGAGGCAUCUGCCAGGACUAUGACAGGUAGGAGGGAGUGGGGUGGGAGGGAACAGGCAGGGAGGCCUUGCCCGACGGAUUCCACAGCUUUUUCUUCUCCCCAGUGAUAAGCGGUUCCCAGCUUUUGGCUUUGGGGCUCGAAUCCCCCCCAACUUCGAGGUGUCCCAUGACUUUGCUAUCAACUUUGACCCGGAAAAUCCUGAAUGUGAAGGUAAAAGGGGAGAUUUUCACCUGCCUCGCCUCCCCCCAGACACACUCCACACAGGAGCACAGACUCCAUCCCCAAGGGCCCAGCUUCCUGUCCCUUCCACCCAUCCCAGGCCUGGUCGUUAUCAGGUGAGGCUUCCAGGGCCAAGGCCCAGCAUCUGCACCUAACUCUCCCCGCCAACGGAGCAUCCAACUCUCCCACUGCUUAAUGAAGGAACUCCAGGGGAGGGCAGUCCUCAGACCUGGAAGCAUUUCCUUGCUUUAAGGAAUGUCAGGAGGGGGCCCUGCUCAUUUCUGCCAGCUUCACAACUUCUCUUCACUCACAGAGAUCUCAGGGGUCAUUGCCUCCUACCGUCGUUGCCUGCCCCAGAUCCAGCUCUACGGCCCCACCAACGUGGCCCCCAUCAUCAACCGUGUAGCUGAGCCCGCCCAGCGGGAGCAGAGCACCGGCCAAGCCACGAAGUACUCGGUGCUGCUGGUGCUCACUGACGGUGUGGUGAGCGACAUGGCCGAGACUCGCACUGCUAUCGUGCGUGCCUCCCGCCUGCCCAUGUCCAUCAUCAUCGUAGGCGUGGGCAAUGCUGACUUCUCUGACAUGCGGCUGCUGGAUGGCGACGACGGUCCCUUGCGCUGCCCCCGAGGGGUGCCUGCAGCCCGAGACAUUGUCCAGUUCGUGCCCUUCCGAGACUUCAAGGAUGCUGCCCCCUCUGCACUCGCCAAGUGUGUCCUGGCUGAGGUGCCACGGCAGGUGGUGGAGUACUACGCCAGCCAGGGCAUCAGCCCUGGGGCUCCCAGGCCCUGCACACUGGCUACGACUCCCAGCCCUAGCCCGUGACUGCCACCCUCCGGACCGACACUCCCUCAGCCUCUCAGUGCCUGUCCUGACCCUCGUGACUCCAGUGACCAACGCCUCCACCUCUUGGACCAGCUGUGCCCCCUGGGUUCUGGACGUGAGUGGUGGGCCCUGCUCCUAUCUCUCCAAACCCCAUACCCUUCAAUGCUGUGGCCCCUCAGUGACUUCCUUGGGUGAUCCUGACUUUCUAGCCAUUAAUAAAGAGAACUGCUCCUAGC